UACAGAAGACUACUUAUGUUAUGGUGGUGCGAUUCUACUCUUCUUUCUCUUUUCUCUCUGCAUUUAGCUUAUACAUAAAAUAAAGCAAGACUGAAAAAGGAAUGAAUAGCAGUAUUCAUGAAUUCUUUCUAAUAGAAUAGUUUACUAGGCAGUCAAAACUGGGAAGGCAGGCAAGUCAAACCCAUUGGAUUCAUUUCCUGUUCCAACCAUUCAAGCGAAGCGAAGUGAUUCAACUCUUCAGUUGCCUCCAUUCCCAAGGGAAGCAAGCCAGUUCUUCAAAUGAAGGCAGAGAAGGCUAAAGUCAGGUCCAACUGCUCAACUCAAUACGAGGAAUCCUGAACCUUCUAACCGCAAGACCAAGCUAUUGGCAGGGGAAAGUUGUUUCUCUUACGUUUUGUUCUCGAUAGCCAGAUAGUGAAGAAAGAAGGGGAAGGAAGACUCAACCUAGUGCCAAGCUAAAGGCUAGAGGAAGAAGAGUCGACUCAACUUGAGCCAUUCUUACCUUUGAAGAAGAGCAAAAAGAGCGGAUGAAAGAAGAGUGACUUCUUCAAAAAUAUCCAAGACCGCCAUGCGCCAUUCUUCUUUUUCUCCCGGGAGACGAAGGAAAGGCUAGGUCCCUGUGACACCGCCCUAAAUAGCUUGAUCUGACCGAACCUAAUAGAAUAAGGGGAAGGGGAUUGCCCCGGGCCGGGUAUUCUCGGGGAAUUCGGUAUUCAAGGAGAUGCGCCUUUCACCAGGUGAGCAAAAAGCAUUGACUCGCCUGGGAUUUAGAAUUCAAGAUAGCACAGUGAAAAUAGAAUCCCUUGAAGCCUUUCGGGUGGGAUUCGACUUGCCAACUGAUCCAAAUCAAGCUAUAGUAUGACAUAACUCAGAACUCGUAGCUGAAUAGCCAAAGCCUUUGACUGAUGAGAUUGAUGCUUCGGUCAAACGACUUCCUAAUAGACCUAAUGCUAAUGGUUGAGAUCGUGGAAUCAGUUCUUCUGUUCCCGGAAACCUGAUCUUCAGAAAUGCAGCUCACCGGGUUUUUCGAACUAAGCAAGGGCAGCUUCGUCAUUUCUCAGUCGUAUGAAGGUAAGAUCCACCCACAGGGGGGGAAAAAUGAGUUCUUUUAUUCUCACUGAGCUAAAAAGAAUGUGUCGUGUGUGGAUUUUUUGAUAUGUGUCUUUCUAACUAUGGCAACUUCAACUUAGUCUUUUUAAGUAAAAUCAAUCCUUGGUUGCCUUUUGCCUUCUUAGUCAUUUUCCUAUGUUUUGGAGAUUCUCUCUUUUUUUUUAGCCCUUCUACAUUAUCCUUAUACAUAGAUUAUAGAUUCCAUAUUGCAUUUAAGAAAGUCAUGCUCCGAAUCAAUACAGAAUGAAAGAAUCAGCUCGAGGUUAGGUUGAUCGAAAGAGAACAAGGUUCCAACUCCUCUUCUUACUCGUUCUUUCUUUUUCAUGAAAAUGAAACCAAAUCCUAAUUUAUUUUCCAUCUUUAUGAUAGAUGACCGCUCCGUGGGUAAUCUUGAAUCUUCAUGAAAGAUUAUCGAUUCCCUCUCUUGUUAUACCCCGGCCUAAGAUAGAACGAAGGUCAGGAAGGGAAGGUCAGUUUGGUAAUAGAUAUUCAUAACCAAAAAUCGCAUAACUCGAUACCAAGGCCAUGAAAACAAGAGAAUACAAAUGAACCUGACUCACUUGAACUACUGAGUUUGAAAUGGAUUAUCGAGUCUAUCUAUUUUAGACAGCUUCAGUGGUACAUCUCCUUC
This 1741-nucleotide long non-coding RNA is filed under the name Elaeis guineensis (African oil palm). RNAcentral describes it as "long non-coding RNA (EGUI_LNC065651)". Lineage: Eukaryota; Viridiplantae; Streptophyta; Magnoliopsida; Arecales; Arecaceae. The record is from RNAcentral.